This 476-nucleotide ribosomal RNA is filed under the name uncultured bacterium. RNAcentral's name for it is "bacterial SSU rRNA". It matches the Rfam family "Bacterial small subunit ribosomal RNA", at positions 28 to 521 of the family's 1533-position model. The record is from RNAcentral.
GAUUAACGCUAGCGGCAGGCAUAAUACAUGCAAGUUGAACGAGAUUAGUUUAGCAAUAGACUAUGAAAGUGGCGCACGGGUGCGUAACACGUAUGCAACCUGCCCUUGACUGGAGAAUAGCCUCUCGAAAGAGAGAUUAAUGUUCCAUAACAUAUAGGUUAAGCAUUUAAUUUAUAUCAAAGCUCCGGCGGUCAAGGAUGGGCAUGCGGUUGAUUAGGUAGUUGGCGGGGUAACGGCCCACCAAGCCUACGAUCAAUAGCUGAUGUGAGAGCAUGAUCAGCCACACGGGCACUGAGACACGGGCCCGACUCCUACGGGAGGCAGCAGUAAGGAAUAUUGGGCAAUGGACGAAAGUCUGACCCAGCCAUGCCGCGUGGAGGAUGAAGGCCUUAGGGUUGUAAAGAUCUUUCAGUGGGGAAGAUAAUGACUGUACCCACAGAAGAAGCCCCGGCUAACUCCGUGCCAGCAGCCGCGGU